GAUGAACGCUGGCGGCAUGCCUAAUACAUGCAAGUCGAACGGGAGGAAGGAAAGCUUGCUUUCCUGAAUCUAGUGGCGAACGGGUGAGUAACACGUAGGUAACCUGCCCAUGUGCCCGGGAUAACUUCUGGAAACGGAUGCUAAAACCGGAUAGGUAGCAGACAAGCAUUUGACUGCUAUUAAAGUGGCCUUGGCCAUGAACAUGGAUGGACCUGCGGUGCAUUAGCUGGUUGGUGAGGUAACGGCCCACCAAGGCGACGAUGCAUAGCCGGCCUGAGAGGGCGGACGGCCACAUUGGGACUGAGACACGGCCCAAACUCCUACGGGAGGCAGCAGUAGGGAAUUUUUCGUCAAUGGCCGAGAGGCUGAACCAGCCAAGUCGCGUGAAGGAAGAAGGAUCUA
This 402-nucleotide ribosomal RNA is filed under the name uncultured bacterium. Its description in RNAcentral is "bacterial SSU rRNA". It matches the Rfam family "Bacterial small subunit ribosomal RNA", at positions 28 to 419 of the family's 1533-position model. The record is from RNAcentral.